RNAcentral lists this ribosomal RNA (398 nucleotides) under uncultured bacterium. RNAcentral describes it as "partial 16S ribosomal RNA". It matches the Rfam family "Bacterial small subunit ribosomal RNA", at positions 523 to 918 of the family's 1533-position model. The record is from RNAcentral.
AUACGUAGGGUGCGAGCGUUGUCCGGAAUUACUGGGCGUAAAGAGCUCGUAGGUGGUUUGUCGCGUCGUCUGUGAAAUUCCGGGGCUUAACUCCGGGCGUGCAGGCGAUACGGGCAUAACUUGAGUACUGUAGGGGAGACUGGAAUUCCUGGUGUAGCGGUGAAAUGCGCAGAUAUCAGGAGGAACACCGGUGGCGAAGGCGGUUCUCUGGGCAGUAACUGACGCUGAGGAGCGAAAGCAUGGGUAGCGAACAGGAUUAGAUACCCUGGUAGUCCAUGCUGUAAACGGUGGGCGCUAGGUGUAGGGGUCUUCCACGACUUCUGUGCCGUAGCUAACGCAUUAAGCGCCCCGCCUGGGGAGUACGGCCGCAAGGCUAAAACUCAAAGGAAUUGACGGGG